This 718-nucleotide ribosomal RNA is filed under the name Bacillus sp. EPI-B12. RNAcentral describes it as "bacterial SSU rRNA". It matches the Rfam family "Bacterial small subunit ribosomal RNA", at positions 60 to 760 of the family's 1533-position model. Lineage: Bacteria; Bacillati; Bacillota; Bacilli; Caryophanales; Bacillaceae. The record is from RNAcentral.
AGUCGAGCGGACCGACGGGAGCUUGCUCCCUUAGGUCAGCGGCGGACGGGUGAGUAACACGUGGGUAACCUGCCUGUAAGACUGGGAUAACUCCGGGAAACCGGGGCUAAUACCGGAUGCUUGAUUGAACCGCAUGGUUCAAUCAUAAAAGGUGGCUUUUAGCUACCACUUACAGAUGGACCCGCGGCGCAUUAGCUAGUUGGUGAGGUAACGGCUCACCAAGGCGACGAUGCGUAGCCGACCUGAGAGGGUGAUCGGCCACACUGGGACUGAGACACGGCCCAGACUCCUACGGGAGGCAGCAGUAGGGAAUCUUCCGCAAUGGACGAAAGUCUGACGGAGCAACGCCGCGUGAGUGAUGAAGGUUUUCGGAUCGUAAAACUCUGUUGUUAGGGAAGAACAAGUACCGUUCGAAUAGGGCGGUACCUUGACGGUACCUAACCAGAAAGCCACGGCUAACUACGUGCCAGCAGCCGCGGUAAUACGUAGGUGGCAAGCGUUGUCCGGAAUUAUUGGGCGUAAAGCGCGCGCAGGCGGUUUCUUAAGUCUGAUGUGAAAGCCCCCGGCUCAACCGGGGAGGGUCAUUGGAAACUGGGGAACUUGAGUGCAGAAGAGGAGAGUGCAAUUCCACGUGUAGCGGUGAAAUGCGUAGAGAUGUGGAGGAACACCAGUGGCGAAGGCCACUCUCUGGUUUGUAACUGACGCUGAGGCGCGAAGC